Molecule: unclassified non-coding RNA, 1613 nt
Filed under: Bombus terrestris (buff-tailed bumblebee)
Lineage: Eukaryota; Metazoa; Arthropoda; Insecta; Hymenoptera; Apidae
Description: misc RNA ENSBTSG00005027090.1
Source: RNAcentral
AACACGAUAUCGUAUCAAAAAUCAGUAACACUUGAAUUUACGUCAAAGGCGGCGUAGACAGUAAUACAUCUAGCAGCUUGACUAUGAAAUGAUUUUAUUAACGUAUUAUAAAAACCAGACUCUAAAUGCGACCAGAGGGACAACAUGGUACAAGGGCAUCCAUGUACAAGGAGAAUGUAUGAGAUUCAAAUUCGAGACUUAAAUAAAUAUUGUGACAAUAUCUAGCAAUGACAUUGGACAGUCAUCUUUCGUUCGCGUGUAUGGUUGCUGCUGUAUCGUUGUCGUAGAUCAACUUGAUCAUGCCAGGUAGCUAUAUGUGUCCUUUUGACCCUCUGUGCGCUCCAGAUAUUCUUUCUCAAUUAAAAUAUCUAUACAUUUCUGAAAGAGCAGAAUCAUCUUAUAUUAAGGUUACAUCUUCUUCAUUUCAAUUUAUUUUCUCAAAUAUUUCUAUUCAUCGAUAUCAUGUUAUGAAAAAUCAAUAUAAGAAAAAAUACACGUUUACACAUGUUAAAAAAUUAUUCGCAUAUAUUUCUAUAUAUGAAAAUAUCUUAAAAAACAAUGUCGUUUAUACGUACCUUAAUAACGUGUACUCUUGGUUUGAACCUAGAGCUUAAUUGAUUCAAUACUUCAGCUACCAAUUGUUGAUGUUUGAGUACUUUUCUCAUUUUCAUAAUCCUAACAAUAGCUGCCUGAAUUAAGAGUUUUCUAUCUUCUUCUAUAUUUUUUUGUGUUGUUUCCUGUUCAAUCUUUAAUUCCGUUUUCAUUGGUAUAUUGAUAUUAACCCGCAGCUUCUUGCUGUCAUAAAAGAAAUAUAUUAAUAUAAUUUCUGAUAAGGUAAAUAUCACAGACUAUUAAAUAGAGUUACUUUUUAUAUCCUGUGAAAAGCUCAACUGUUGACAGUGGUGUCAAUUCAGCUUCGUCAUCAGUAGCUGCCGUUAAUAGUUUAGCUUUCAAGAGUAUUUGAAUAACCUGUAACAAUGAAUAUAUUAUCUAGGCUCUAUUUUAUAUGUUAAUUCUUUCCAUCUUGUUAUAUUACCUGAAGCAAAAAAUCCAUUUUUAUCUGUGUAGCAUCAUGUAAUUGUUGUAUCGUCCAUACAGUAGAACCAUUAUAUUGUAAGAGAACAGCCAUUUGAAACGUGGAUGCUUGCAACGUGUAUCUGCAAUAAAAGAAUGAAACCUCAUUUGCAAUUGACACAAAAUAUUUAUUAUAAUUUUAACUUAAAUUUUAUUGUUAAAUAUUUUAUGACCUGUUUUUGAAACAAUUUGUAUGCAAUUCUCCUUUAGACAUAUUGUACAACCAAUUCAACUUUCUUCCACUAUGCUGUGAACUAUAGAAAGUGGUGAACCUAUGUACAGAUCUCUCUAGCUGUAAUGCAAAGAUAAUAUUUAAAUGAUACUAUUAUCAUAAAAUGAAUUAUUCAAUUCCAUUUACCUCUGUUGGUAAUGAAAAUGUAAAGGAUUGUUGAAAAGGCCAAGAACCAGAAGACAACACUUGUAUAUUGAAAUCUAUAUCCAAUGGUUCAGCAGAAUUUGUCAAAUGUCUUCUAAACUGCUCAUUUAGAUCUUUAGACACACCAAUAUCCUGUGAACAGACUGCUAUAAUUAUAAUGUUA